RNAcentral lists this long non-coding RNA (2304 nucleotides) under Homo sapiens (human). RNAcentral describes it as "long non-coding RNA NONHSAT156668.1". The record is from RNAcentral. Lineage: Eukaryota; Metazoa; Chordata; Mammalia; Primates; Hominidae.
CACUGUGCAAACAAAAAAAGGCAACAAGCAUGCUGGGACCAUUCUGUCUGCUGUUUGGGUCUCACUUGUCCUGACAACUAAAAAUCAUCAGUGGAAAGGUAUUCUACAUUUUUUAUUUGAGGUAAAGAAUUGUGGGUGAUAUUAUCUGGGUAUUUAGAUCGCAAAGAGAUCAAAACAGACCCUGAUAUUUGGCCUAAGACAGAAGAAAGACCAUGAGGAGGCCUUAGACCUCAGCAGGCCAUUUCCAUCUUACUGUCGUAUUCUUACACAGACAGGAAAACGCACCGCAGAUGAACUAUGUUUUUCAACUGAACUCAAUUCCGAAAUACAAGGUAGCUCACGUGCGAAUGGCCCACACGGAGAAUCAAUGUCCCUGUACCAUUGAUGCUGGGUCUAUGUGAUACCUGAAGUUUCAUGGCAUUUUAUUAAUUUCUAUUUCUAAACUAAAAGUGCACCCUGCUCUGCUAAAAGGCACAGAAAACAUACAGAAUGUAAACCGAGAACAUGGCAUGCCACAGAAAGUAUAAACAGAAAACCCUGACUUAGAGAGACAUGUAAAAACUAGAGCAUUUUACAGACACGCCCACUACCUGGCCAAACUGGAUGCAAGAAUUUGGAAGUGCAUAUUGGAAAUAAGCGAAGUUUUCUUACAAGUCAGCUGAUAAGAGAUUUGACUUUGAGAACGUUUAAGCAAAGAUGAAAGCUCAAGGAAUUGCAAUAUUGAGAGUUCAAUAUACUCUACUGUGGGAAAAACAAAAACAAAAUAGAAACGAAACGAAAUUUUUGCAAGCUUGUUGUUGUGAAAAUACGCAGAUCAUGAGGUCAGGAGUUCGAGACUAGCCUGGCCAACAUAGUGAAACCCCAUCUCUACUAAAAAGAAAAGAAAAUGCUUCACUCUAGAAUUUUGAUGAGAAGAAAAGCGCCAUGAAGACUCACGUGCAGCUUCCUGAGGAAUCUGUGUUUCACCCUAGGAUUUCUGAAAAGAUGAUUGGAUCCAGAAAUGGAUGAGAGAUUUCCUUGAAGAUUAAGUGAUUUAUUCACAGAGCAUUACUCCCUCUGCAAAUGCAAGAGGGCAGAAAAACGAGGACUCUGCUUACUGCUGUGAUGCUGAAGAAGGUUCAACCAAAGAAGCCUCACAUCUUUUGUUCUCCUGGCUGAAAACCAGGAAGAAGAGCAAUGUUAAAAAAAAAAGUACAUUUCAAAGUGAUGAAUGAAAACAGCCUUUGAAUGAUGGAUUUAGAAAACGUACUUGUUCCAUAAAAAAUAUCUCACAGUAGAAAAUAAAUUUUCUCAUUAUCAAGGUUUUCAAUUAUUAUCAAAUAAACCAUUUGAGUCAUGUCUUUUAGUAUUAAAGUCAAGGAAAGCAUUGGUGUCCCAUUUGCAGUGAUUCAUAGUAAGUUUAGCAGAUUCACGAUGGCUGGGUUUAUUCAAAUUUGUCAUUGAGCAUUCAAAAACAAUUCUCUAAAUACAUUUUCUAUUUGUUAUCAUAUAAAUCAGUGAAGCUAGAGUCAUCCUAACAAGAGUGAUAGUCUUUCCCCAAGUGAGACCAGGCUGUGCUGUCUGGGGAAAAGCAUUGCUGGCCUUGUCGAGAUGCACCGACGACUCAGCUCAGCUAAGGACUUAACCAGUACAGGACUUGCUGCAGCGGAGCCUGAGCUGGAUAUGGAAAGCAAAAGAAGCAAGAUCUCCCUAUGUUGCCAAGGUUGGUCUGGAACUCCUGAGCUCAAGUGAUCCUCCUGCCUCAGCCUCCUAAAGUGUUAGAAUUAUUGAUGUGAGCCACUGCAUGUGGUCAAUUCUGUCAUUCUUGACAACAAGGAUGAAGCUGGGAGAUACUGUGCUGAGUAGAAUAAACCAAGCACAAAAAGACAAGUGCCUCAUGAGCUCACUUAUAUGUAGAAUCUGUAACAGUCGAACUCAUCAGAGAGCAGAAUAAUGGUUACCAGGGACUAGCAGUAGGCUGGAGGGAGAGGUGGGGAGGUGUCGGUGAAAUAAUAUAAAAUUUCAGUUAGAAAAAAUAAGAUUUAAGAGAUCUAUUGCACAACAUGGUGACUAUAGUUAUUAACACUGUAUUAUAUUCUUGAAAAUCACUAAGAUUUUAAUAUUCUCACCACAAAAAAUAAGCAUGGGGUGACAUGCAAAAGGAACAUCUAAAUGCUCUUCCUGUGAUCUUUGGGGAAAGCACCCGAGUAGAAAGAGUGUCCACGGUACAUUAUCCAUGUAAGAAGUUGUGUCUGGCUACUCCCUUGAACCAGCAGAGACAGAUAUCAGGACAACAUGGCCUUAAUAUGGAGCAUAGGAUUGUAA